UGAGGAAUAUUGGGCAAUGGACGCAAGUCUGAACCAGCCAUGCCGCGUGAAGGAAGACGGCCCUACGGGUUGUAAACUUCUUUUGUACGGGAAAAAAUCUCCGGUCGUGAAUCGGAGCUGAUGGUACCGUAAGAAUAAGCAUCGGCUAACUCCGUGCCAGCAGCCGCGGUAAUACGGAGGAUGCAAGCGUUAUCCGGAUUCAUUGGGUUUAAAGGGUGCGCAGGCGGAAUGAUAAGUCAGUGGUGAAAUCCUACGGCUCAACUGUAUAACUGCCAUUGAUACUGUCGUUCUGGAGUACACUUGGAGUGGGCGGAAUGUGUCAUGUAGCGGUGAAAUGCUUAGAUAUGACACAGAACACCGAUCGCGAAGGCAGCUAGCUAAGCUAUAACUGACGCUCAUGCACGAAAGCGUGGGGAUCAAACA
Molecule: ribosomal RNA, 423 nt
Filed under: uncultured prokaryote
Description: bacterial SSU rRNA
Rfam family: Bacterial small subunit ribosomal RNA
Source: RNAcentral